UAACUUUGAGCGGUGGAUCACUCGGCUCGUGCGUCGAUGAAGAGCGCAG
This 49-nucleotide ribosomal RNA is filed under the name Japanochlamys cerasina. RNAcentral describes it as "partial 5.8S rRNA". It matches the Rfam family "5.8S ribosomal RNA", at positions 1 to 48 of the family's 154-position model. From Rfam's summary of the family: 5.8S ribosomal RNA (5.8S rRNA) is a component of the large subunit of the eukaryotic ribosome. It is transcribed by RNA polymerase I as part of the 45S precursor that also contains 18S and 28S rRNA. Lineage: Eukaryota; Metazoa; Mollusca; Gastropoda; Stylommatophora; Chronidae. The record is from RNAcentral.